CCCAUGUCCUGUCUCAUGAUAGAGUUCUCAUGAGAUCUGGUUGUUUGAAAGCGUGUAGCACCUCCCACUUUGCUCUCCCUCUCUCUCCUGCAGCCAUGUGAAGACAUACUUGCUUCUCCUUCACCUUCUGCCGUGAUUAUAUGUUUCCUGAAACUUCCCCAACCAUCCCUCCUGUACAGCCUGUGGAACUGGUCUCACUCUGUUGCCCAGGCUGGAGUGCACUGGCUCAAUCAUCGCUCACUACAGCCUCCACCUCCCAGGUUCAAGGAAUCCUCCUGCCUCAGCCUCCUUAGUAGCUGGGACCAGAGGUGUGCACCAUCACACCCAACUUUUUUUUUUUUUUAAUACAGAGAUGGGGUCCCACCAUGUUUCCUAGGCUGGUCUCAAACUCUUGGACUCAAGAGAUCUGCUCAUCUCAACCUCCCAAACAGCUGGGAUUACAGGCAUGAGCCACUACAUCCACCCUAAACGUUUUUAAAAAUAUUUUUAUCACUAGGGAAUAAUUAAGGAAGACAAUAGCACAUUGUCUGUAAAAAAAAAAAAAAAUGUGACUGAGAAAAUGAGACCCAGACAAGAUGCCAUUUCAGUAUAAAGGCCAAGGCACAAUCCCAAACAUGAAAACACGACAAGGAAUGUAACACCCGUGAGUGCUUCUUGGGAGAAAAAAGCCUGCUUGUUUUAAAAUCUAACCUGUAAGGAGAAUGAAUCACAUGAAAAACUCAAGAAUGGAGAGAGCACUGUAGAAAGACUUAGAAUACUGAAUCCAUUUAAAUGUAGAAUUAUGGCAUUAAAGAGAGAAAACAGUGAAAUUGUGACUUCAAAAUAAAAUAUACAUGUUAUAAACUUGAACAAUAUCCUCAUCAUCACAACAUUUUCUUUCUUUCUUUUUUUUUGAGACAGAGUCUCCCUCUGUCACCCAGGCUGGAGUGCAGUGGCGCCAUCUUAGCUCAUUGCAAACCCUCCCUCUCAGGUUCAAGCGAUUCUCUGGCCUCAGCCUCCCAAGUAACUGGGAUUACAGGUGCUCGCCAUCACACCCGGCUAAUUUUUGUAUUUUUUUUAGUAGAGACUGGGUUUCACCAUGUUGGCCAGGCUGGUCUCUAACUCCUGACCUCUGGUGAUCCACCCACCUCGGCCUCCCAAAGUGCUGGGAUUACAGGUGUGAGCCACUGCGCCUGGCCCACAACAUUUUUUUAAUGAAAAAUAAGAGAUGAGUUUUCAUAUCUGGCCAUGUGGCAGCGACUGAUAUUCAAUGGGUACUCACCUGCUUUAAAGAACUGUAAAAGUGGGCAAAAUAGACAAUACAACUGUUUCCAGGAAUUAGACCCCAAGGGACACAGGGCUGAUCCUUGAGAGCCGGGAAACCCACAGGUGACCCCACAACCACCCCUGGGGGCACUCUCUGGACCCCAGUAAGGAGAUGAAGAGAUGUGGUCUCGCUGAGCUGGGAAGGAAGAGCUCAGAGAAGAUGGAGGCUGCUGAAGUCACUGGAAUUUGCGGGGGCAGGGAACUGGAGAGGAGAAGCUGCCCAGAAGAGGAGCCCAGGACUGUAGGUGGGGGUCUUCUGGGGGAGGGCUGGACAGGGUAAGACUCAGAAGGCCCAGCAAUGAGAAGCGCUGUGCAGCUGACAGCUGCCUGGAGACCCCAGGAGCCUGCUGGGGCUGAAGGAUGCUGGCCUUCCCAUGACGUGGAGUGGACGGGUCUUGCUAAACCCCCGGGGUGUCCAGCUCAACCCCAGCAAGGAGGAAACCUAAAGAGAAGAUAAGGUGGGCAUGGGACACUCAGACAUGAAAUCAGGAACAGUCUAAAGUCGGAACUAGUAAAACCUAUAUCGAUUCCAGGACAAAACCAAAAUCAGGGCAAGGAGACAAACAGUUUCAUCAUUAAAUAAAAAACCAACUUAGAGGAAGCAACUUGUACCCUAAUGCCCAGCUGGAAGAUGCUUUCAGACAUGUACUCUUAAUUCAACCUGUGUCAACACAAAAUGAAAGGCAUUUUUCUCCCACUACAGUAUUCCCCAUGAAACAAAGAUCAAGAUUAUCGUGUAGGGCAAUUAAUGCUGUGUUUAAACGUCUCCUUUUGAGAAUAAUGCUUUAGUGUUUGUGAAAGUGUCUUUCAACUUUUAAUGACUUUUAUUUGUUGUUUAUUUGGUGUUAAUCUUCUCUUUUAGUUUUCUGUUAUCAAAUGUCUUUAUCACGUAGAGAUUAUUUUUAUGUUAUUGAAAUAAUCUAUAAGUACCAUACAUUUUCUCAUAACAACAAUUAUGAUUAUUAUUUUAAAUAGAAACAGAAAACUUUUGAAACAUUUAUGAUAACCCUGACACAGGAACAUGAUUCACUGUUUCUUUUUUUUUUUUUUUUUUUGAGACGGAGUUUUACUCUCAUUUCCCAGGCUGGAGUGCAGUUGCGCGAUCUCUGCUCACUGCAGCUUCCACCUCCCAGGUUCAAGCGAUUCUUCCCGCCUGUCUCCCAAGUAGCUGGGAUUACAGACGUGCGCAGCCACCCCACCCGGCUAAUUUUUUUGUAUUUUUACAAGAGACAGGGUUUCACCAUGUUGGCUAGGCUGGUCUCAAAUUCCUAACCUCAGGUGAUCUGCCCACCUUGGCCUCCCAAAGUGCUGGGAUUAUAGGCGUGAGCCACCAAGCCCAACCUCAUUAUUUCUUAUUAUGGUCACUCUGUUAUCAUUUAAAAACAUGUAAAUCGGUGGGGUUUUUUUUGUUUUGUUUUGUUUUGAGACAGGAUCUUGCACUGUCGCCCAGGCUGAAGAAAUCAUAGUGAUGAAAUCAUAGCUCACUGCAGCCUGGAUCUCCUGGGCUCAAGUGAUCCUCCCACCUCAGCCUCCUGAGUAGCUGGGACUACGGGUUCACAUCACUACACUUGGCUAAUUUUUUGACUUUUAGUAGAGACAAAGUCUCACUAUGUUGCCCAGGCUGGUCUUGAACUCCCCCACCUCAGCCUCCCAAAGUGCUGGGAUUACAGGCAUGAGCCACUGCACCCAGCAUAAUAGUAUUAUAAAAAUACAGAACAAUUUAUAAGUUUUGAGACAUCCCAAAAAAUCCUGGGAACUAUGAUUUGUUCCUGAAUCCCAAAGAUUAAUAUAGAACUUUUUUGACUGGUGAGCAUGUUCUUCAAACUCUAGCUCACAUGUCCUAUCUUCUUUAAAAAAACUUUCUGUAUUAGCCAAGGCUGAUGGUUGCAAAUGCCAAAAAUCUAAUACAGUGGGCAAAGGGGUACUUUAUUGAUUCAUGUAACUGGGAGUGGUUGUAGCUUCAGGCACAAGAGGACCCAGAGGUUCAGAGUGUCAUGGCCUCUCUCUCUCUCUCUCUCUCUCUCUCUCCAGUUUCUCCUCUGACUUAGAUUUAGUUUUCCUCCACCUAAAGCUAAAGUUAGUCACACUGGGAGCUCCAGAUGUGUGUUAUCCUUAAGUCUCAUGAUCCCAGACAAAGAGAGAGUGAACGCUUCUCUAAUAGGUUUGGUGAAAGUCCCCAGGAGCUUUUGGAUUGCCCCAGCAUGUGCCCCAUGCACAUCCCUGAGCCCGUGACUGUCAGCAGGAAGACAGAAUACCCUCAUGGCCAACCUUGGACCACCUGCCCUCCUCUGGGAUCAGUCCUACCUGACUCCAUGGAAUAGAUCCCCCAUAAGAAAGAUGGAUUCUAUGUGAAGAAGGCAGGGCUGUGAUGCUGGGUACUGGGAAGUGACAGAUGUCCCCCUCACCCUCCAUUGUUUUCUCCUUCCCCGAAGAAUCAGUACCUCCCUCACUUGCAUGCCCAUGGCUUUGGAUUCUUCCUGUGUUGUAUUUCUUCUCACAGCACACUCUUGUAGGCACAUCCAUCUCACAGAUCCAUCCAUCCGUGAGUUCCUCCAGGAACUGGUCUUGCUCCUGUGGCACUCCAGCACCUAGCAUGUACCUGGCAUGUAGUAGGUACUCCAUAGCUAAUAUUUAUUGGAAUUUAUUACCUGUCAUGCACUAUUCAAAGUUGUAUAUGAACUAGUUUACUCUUCACAGUAAUACGAUGAGGUAGAUAUUAUUGUCCUUCAUUAAAUAUUUAUUGACUAAGUUAAUGAAAGUAAGCCAUGAUUUAAAGAAGCUACCCACUGAACCCCAUGAUAGAAUUCAAGGGCUGUCUACCAUAGUUGAAAAGACUUCUCUCUGUCAAAGGGAACUAUUGUCUUGUGACUACUUCCCUGAAGGUAGCAUGUCUGACCACAUAACAAGGGUGGGAUGACCUCCACCAAAGAGGCUGGGCCAAUGCUAAUGAUGCAGGCCGGAGGCAGAGGGCACCAGCCACCAGGCACUCCUUGCCACCCCCAUAGCAGGGACAUCAUAAAAUGUCUGGGUUUCCCCGGAGGCCAGCAAACAAAGGAACAACUGCCUUUUGGAGUAAGUAAUCCUGAUACUGCAUGUAGUCCAAGGCACACAGAAGGAAUCCCUCUGGCAGAUAAACCGUAGAGUUGCACAGCAAGAGGGACCUUACAAAUGAUCUAAGACUGUGCUUUUGUUUUCAGGAUGAGGAAACAGAAGCCUGUAAAGGUGAAAGGAAUUGUCCAAGGUCCCGUGGUUAGUACAGAAACUAGAAACUGGAAGUAGAACCCAGAUCGCUUUCUGAGUCCCCUGAGACUUUGCAUAUGCUGAAUGAUUAUAAAUGAUUAUAAAUAAGUCUUUGUUUGUUUGUUUUUUGAGACGGAGUCUCCUGCAGCAGCACUCUGUAACCUAUCUCGGCUCACUGCAACCUCCACCUCCCAGGCUCAAGCGAUUCUCCUGCCUCAGCUUCCCGAGUAGCUGGGAUUACAGGCAUGUGCCACCAUGCCCAGCUAAUUUUUGUAUUUUUAGUAGAGACAGGGUUUCACCAUGUUGGCCAGGCUACCCUCGAACUCCUGGCCUCAAGUGAUCUGCCACCUUCAGCCUCCCACAGUGCUGGGAUUACAGCCAUGAGCCACUGCACCCGGCCAUAAAUAAAUCUUAAAUCUGAUUGAAGGACCCAACUUCAAUACUUGGAGGUGAUGUCAUUAACCUUAGCAGGGGUUAGUGUCCAAGACUGCCAUUGCCAGCUACGUGACCUUGGGAAAGUCCCUCAGUGCCUCCAUUUCCCUGUUGACAGACAGGGCAUGACUGUGCCGAGCACAUGGAAUUGUUGUGACAGCAAAUGAAAUCAUCUCUGCGAUGUGUGGGAGGCUGAGCUGAGUGCUGGGCAAGUGCUCACCGCACAUUCCUGGUCAUUGUUGUUGUUAUCGUGGCAGGAGGAUUUCAUUGAGUUUGGAGCCCUUCCCAGGGUAACAAAGCAAGGAGUCAUUUAAGAUUAAUGUUGCUCUUUUAUGAUCUAGAUAGGCCCUUGGGCAGAGCAAGAAGAAACCAAAGCUGCUUCUCACCAGCCAUGUGGGCUCACUGGCUAGGAGAGCUGAUUGGGCUCCUUUUUAAACUUGGAAAAUAAUUCCUCUUUAAAUAUGGUUUUGGACAAUAAAAAUGAAACAUAUGUACCUGUAAAAAAUGA
This 5485-nucleotide long non-coding RNA is filed under the name Homo sapiens (human). RNAcentral describes it as "HSALNT0023136". The record is from RNAcentral. Lineage: Eukaryota; Metazoa; Chordata; Mammalia; Primates; Hominidae.